AGCCCCUGGCAGUGGGUAAAGAGACCCUGUUGUGGUUGGUGUUCUUCUAUCAGUCAGGGGCAGAGCAGAUGGCGGUCCUUUGUUCCUUUUAGCUCCUUGCUUGGCUUGGUGGCCAAAGCUGUUUUAUACCUAGAACAUAUAA
Small nucleolar RNA from Apodemus sylvaticus (European woodmouse), 142 nucleotides. RefSeq annotates it as small nucleolar RNA SNORA48. The transcript has a single exon. The record is from RefSeq and is a predicted model, not a curated record. NCBI's taxonomy places the organism in Eukaryota, Metazoa, Chordata, Mammalia, Rodentia, Muridae.